AUGAAUCCUCACUCUUACAAGUCCAUAAAUUCAUCUAUAAAUUCAGUGUCAGAUUAAGGUCAGACAAAUCUCUACAGAUGGGGGGAUGGAAAUUGACUCUGUUAACUGCCAAUAAAAGCAAGGCUUUAAAAUCAACUGGAUUUAGGACUCAUAAUGAGGAACACAGACGCGAGGGAGUCAGGAAGAAGUUAUAUCAGAUGGAGCCAAGAGGCUUCAUGUAGGUCUGGAGUUGCUGGUUUGGUCGGGCCGGGCAGUUGUUGGAGUGUGAUGACAGGGUUGAUGCGGAGGACUGGUUUGGCUUUCAAACAGGAUAGGGACAAAGGGUGGAAGUGGCAGGCAGUACGUCCAGCAAAAUAACAAGCAAACUUGUGGCUGUAGCGUCAGUACCACUCUGGUAGACAGAUCAAACACAGGCGAAGACUGAAGGGAUGAGCCGGGGGUUAAUGGAGGAGGCGGUGGAGUCGAUCAGCUGGCGUCUUGCAGCUGUACAGGUGUACUGGUGGGAAAGGGCACCGGGUAGCUUUGCCCAGCAGUUCACACACAGCUCAACACAGAUGGACUGCAACAAGGACAGAUGGGGGGAAAACAAACAAGGGAAUGAAAGGAAAACACUUUAACCCUGACAGAAGGCGGUACACAGUUCAUGGCAGUGCCUCCAGUUUUACCAAACCUGUGUGAUAUUGUAGCAUGCACAUCUGAAGGGGCAACACACUGGCAACAAAUAAUUGACAACAUUACUUACAUAGAUUAUUGCUCAAUAUGUUCCACUGAGUAGAAUCUGCACAGAAGAAAUAUGGAAACAAUUUACUGCACAUGUGCGAUGCAAACAUAAAACACUGGCAGCAAUAUGUCAACGUAAAGGGUAAUUACUCAAGCAGUCAUUCAGAUCAGUAUGACCUGAAUGCAUAUUGAUAAUUAUAAUUCAAAAAUGCCAUAUUUCUGCACCGAGGCGAGGCAAAACAAUGAAUAGAAAUUCUACCUGAAAGCACCGACGCAUAGCAGGAUGUUGAAAUCAUCGAACAAGUGCUCAGUCAUUUCAAAAUCCAAAAAAGCAUCAACAAAACUCCACAAUGAGGUCGUGGGGGGUGGAGCGGGCGUCCUUCCCCCAGAGUCCCUGCAGCCUCGGCCUCUUUUACUCCAUCUCUGCUCCUCUGCAUGGAUAUGUCAGCCACUGUGGAAUCAAUUUCUCCACUGGCGCUUCAGGUUUGGAUACAUUUUUCAAUUCGUUUACACUCAUUACCAGGAAAUAGCCAGAGGCAGAAGCAAUCGAGGCACCUGCAAUAUAAUCCCUCAGAAUUAUUUCAUGUCACAGUGUUUUGGUUUUAAAUGGAAGACAUCAGAAAUCUGGGGAAAUGAGACAUUUAAGAUGGUUGUGGUCACAAGCAAACAUGGGCAGUGGCAAAUCAUGAAUAGUAAUCUCUUAAUCUCUAAAUGAAAAUCAUAAAUUAAAACUUGAAAAUGCACUUCUUUGUACUGCAAUUAAAUCUGUGAGUAAAAUAAUCCCAAAAUCAGAUUAUAUGUCAUUUUCAGUGCGAUUCAGUCAUUACGAAAAAGACUGACAAACUCAAACACCAGCAUGGUUGUCAAUGGACCGAAAUGAAGGAUCCUUGUGAUGCAGGUCACGAAUGAAAAACUGACUGUAGCAUCUUAAUAGAGCAGAGACGUUGUCAACAUUUGCAAAACAAAUGGGGAAACGUGCCGCUUGUUUUCUCUGCGGAUGGAAAGGGAAGACAGUCUGAGCAUUACACUCGAAUUCCUGUGGAGGUCCUGUCAAGCGUCCUUUAGUGAGAUAAAAGCGGCCGAUAAAGUGUUCUUAUCUUUGAUCCAGGUUUACGCCUUGUGAGACUGCAUAAUAGAAAGCUGCUAAAACUCACCUUUGGAUGAGUGAAGAUGAUGAUGUGGACGAUGAAGGAGCAUGGUAUUUCUUUUUUAAGAACAUAUCAAAGGGACACUGACAAUCCAAAAGUGAAGCCUUUAGCCAAAAGCCAACUACUCCCCCAGAUAAUAACCCAGACCGGCUAUUCAGACAGUGCCAGGGGAGCUGAUAAUGGCCACUGUCACGGUCCGUCAGCGUGAGCAGAAACACGUACGGACUCUCAUCACAGCUGCAGCCGCGCUGCGUGAGGCCGGGAUACCCGCUGGCUGCUGCCUACAGUGUAGGGGCUGGAUGCUGAGUUGAAGCGUCACCCCUACAUAUGUUUCUGCCCAAGUGUCCCCGAGAAAGAUCCCAGAUUCUACUUUUGUAGACUUUUAUAAUUGAAGCCAAUAAUACAUACACUGAGUGACGGUGUUAGUUUAGUAUCUGGAUGUUACUUUAUCUGGCAACGUCCAAAGACAAAGCUUCAAGUGAAAUAUAUGUCUGACUGUCAAAUCAAUAGACCUUUAACUAACAGUAAUUUAUGAAAGAAGUUGAAAUGUUUUUUUUAGAUUUGGACCCUGCCAACUGUCACUUCAUGAGCCAAACUCUACUAACUCUGCUUGAUUCAAAUAAACGGGAGGGGGGGUGAACUAAAUCAGUAACAUACAACAGUUGCCAUGGCGUACAGCCCUGUUUGAUACCCAGUUUCUGUGAUUUGUAUAUUUGGAAUCAGCUCUUGCUUUCUUUGGAGAGAGACUCACUGACUUAGCCUAUAAUCCCUGAGCAUGAAUCCCCAACUCCUUGAGUAAACUGAGCAUGUGUGCAUGCCGCCGCACUUUCAUGAGUAGCCGCAUCCUGUGGCAGAGCCUAGUUCUUUUCUCUCGGCUGUCUGGGAGGGGACAGCAGGGGUGCAUGGGCAAAUAUAGAAACUUUUGAAUGGGGAUGGGGCGGAUGUAAACAUUUGUUAGGACCAGGUUCUUGGAAAUUUGUGAACUGCUAUUGAGACCCUGAAGUUUUUAGUUUUUAUGCUUUUACAUUUUGAUGUUAUUUUAUGUCUUUUACAUUGUAUUUAUUAUCCACCUCUUCAUGUUCAGCUAAAGGUUUGUGUGGCUGUGGUUUGUGUCCCCACAGGGACAAUAAAUAUACUCUUGUUGCUUUAUUGUAUUCACUGUAAUUAAUGAAUUCCAAAUAACUCACUUUAAAUAUUCUAAUUUAAAACUGCAUCAAUGAAUAGCUUCUAUUGAUAACUCCAAAGAGCCAUGAGACAAUGGACUCCUGGAAACAGACGUAUAAAAUAGAGAUGCAGAAACUGCAGAAAAUCAAAGUCAUUUGAUGUCUCUGCAGCUGUUUUGUGUUUUUUGUCAGUUUGCUCCUCUCUCCGGUCAUAAUGUGAUUCAUUUCUCAUCUGUUGUCAUUCUGCGUCCCAUUUGUACUCACUUUGUUUCUCUCUAAUGUUGUUCUGUGUCUUGUUGAGAUUGUUCAGCAUCUUUCCAACAAGAAAUGUUCCAUCCAUGGUACGAACAAGCCAACCACUUACAGCAGUAGUGUUCAGCCCUGUCACUGGGAGGUUCUAAUUGUAUCCCUUACUCCAGAUUUAUAUUUCAUUUUAAACUUUACCUAAAAUACUAAUUGUA
Scophthalmus maximus (turbot) is the source of this 3492-nucleotide long non-coding RNA. RefSeq lists it as uncharacterized. The transcript has 4 exons. The record is from RefSeq and is a predicted model, not a curated record. NCBI's taxonomy places the organism in Eukaryota, Metazoa, Chordata, Actinopteri, Pleuronectiformes, Scophthalmidae.